This is an RNA transcript of Cornus florida, 1507 nucleotides long. It is a transcript of the gene named PTI1-like tyrosine-protein kinase 3, with no coding region annotated. Lineage: Eukaryota; Viridiplantae; Streptophyta; Magnoliopsida; Cornales; Cornaceae. The record is from RefSeq and is a predicted model, not a curated record. The transcript has 5 exons.
UGGUAUAUCAUAAUCCUAUACACGCCCAAUUUCAGGAGUGGUUGGGACUUGACAGAGCGCCAACAGUGUGAGGAAAAUGGUGCUGAUGGUGAAGGGAGGAAUCGUGGAGCAGCGACGGCAUAUAUAACCACCGGUUGACGAUGGCGGUGUUGACGAUGUGUUGAUCAGCGGUGUGUUGACGAUGUAGAGAACAGCGGCCGGUAAUGAGACGCACUCCCAACGCCGACAUCUUUGGUGCUUGACGGCGUCAGAGAGUUGGUGUUGAUCGCAGAGGAUGUGAGGACUGGAAUUGCUAAGGAAGAAGGUGGCGCGUGCACGCGUGAAAAGCGCGUUAGAUCUACUCGCAAGAGCACCGGUAGCGUGCGCGCGUGGUUGGAUGGUUCAGUGGAAUUUGAGACUGAAUUUCAGGCAGUUUUCAAAACAAAGAUCAGAUGUACGGUUCAGAGGUUUCCAUGGUUUCGAGACUCCAGCACGGAAAUUUUGUAGAGUUGCUUGGAUACUGUGUUGGAGGGGAUAUCCGUGUUUUAGCACAUGAGUUUGCAACCAUGGGAUCUUUACAUGACAUUUUGCAUGGUAGAAAGGGAGUUCAAGGGGCACAACCAGGUCCUGUGCUUGACUGGAUGCAACGUGUGAGAAUUGCUGUUGAUGCUGCAAGGGGAUUGGAGUAUUUGCAUGAGAAGGUUCAACCUUCUAUAAUACACAGGGAUAUUAGAUCUAGCAAUGUGCUCCUGUUUGAGGACUUUAAGGCCAAGAUUGCAGAUUUCAACCUUUCAAAUCAGGCUCCUGACAUGGCUGCUCGCUUCAUUCUACAAGAGUUUUAGGAACCUUUGGAUAUCAUGCGCCAGAAUAUUGAUGAGUGCAAAGGUCCAAAGAAGAAUGUUUGUCCAAAGGGUUCUCUUUGCAACAACACAGGAGGUAGCUACUCAUGCAGGUGCCCACCUGGUUUCUACAGCGUUCAGGGAAAUGGAAUUGGAUGCAUACCGGACCAAGGAAGACCAUCAUUAGUUCUAAUUAUUGCUUUAGGCAUUGGAAUUGCUAUUGGUAUUCUGGUCUUAAUUGCUAUUGGUAUAUGGUGGCACCGGAAACUUGAAAAGAGAUGGAUGAAGAAAAUGAAACAGAAGUUCUUUAAGAGGAAUGGAGGUUUGAUAUUACAAAAAGAGAUCUCUUCAAGUGAAGAAACUGUGGCGAAAACAAAACUCGGCAUAAGAGUUGGAGAAGGCCACACAGAAUUAUAAUGGAAGUAGAGUCAUUGGCAAGGGAGGAUUUGGUACAGUCUACAAAGGGACGUUUUCAGAUGGUAGCAUGGUAGUGGUUAAGAUAUCUAACAAAGUUGAUGAAGCUCAAUUUGGUCAGUUCAUCAAUGAAAUUCUGAUCCUUUCCCAAAUAAACGAAAGACAGAUCGUGAUCUCUAGGCAACAACCUAACAACGUCACAAUGUGUCUCUGGUUUAUUUCUUAGCUAUUUUUUAUUAUUAUUUAUUAUUUAUUUAUUUAUAUAUUUUUGUCGA